CCCGCCGGCGACCGGCGCACGGGUGAGUAACACGUAUGAAACCUGCCCGUAGCAGGGGGAUAAGCGGAAGGAAUUCCGUCUAAUACCGCGUAACAACCCGAGGAGGCAUCUCCUCGGGUUUAAAGGAAGCGAUUCCGGCUACGGAUGGUCAUGCGUCGCAUUAGCUAGUUGGCGGGGUAACGGCCCACCAAGGCGACGAUGCGUAGGGGUUCUGAGAGGAAGGUCCCCCACACUGGUACUGAGACACGGACCAGACUCCUACGGGAGGCAGCAG
This 274-nucleotide ribosomal RNA is filed under the name uncultured bacterium. Its description in RNAcentral is "partial 16S ribosomal RNA". It matches the Rfam family "Bacterial small subunit ribosomal RNA", at positions 84 to 354 of the family's 1533-position model. The record is from RNAcentral.